GCUCAGGAUGAACGCUAGCUACAGGCUUAACACAUGCAAGUCGAGGGGAAACGACAUCGAAAGCUUGCUUUUGAUGGGCGUCGACCGGCGCACGGGUGAGUAACGCGUAUCCAACCUGCCCAUCACUUGGGGAUAACCUUGCGAAAGUAAGACUAAUACCCAAUGAUAUCUCUAGAAGACAUCUGAAAGAGAUUAAAGAUUUAUCGGUGAUGGAUGGGGAUGCGUCUGAUUAGCUUGUUGGCGGGGUAACGGCCCACCAAGGCGACGAUCAGUAGGGGUUCUGAGAGGAAGGUCCCCCACAUUGGAACUGAGACACGGUCCAAACUCCUACGGGAGGCAGCAGUGAGGAAUAUUGGUCAAUGGACGAGAGUUUGAACCAGCCAAGUAGCGUGCAGGAUGACGGCCCUAUGGGUUGUAAACUGCUUUUAUAAGGGAAUAAAGUGAGUCUCGUGAGACUUUUUGCAUGUACCUUAUGAAUAAGGACCGGCUAAUUCCGUGCCAGCAGCCGCGGUAAUACGGAAGGUCCGGGCGUUAUCCGGAUUUAUUGGGUUUAAAGGGAGCGUAGGCCGGAGAUUAAGCGUGUUGUGAAAUGUAGACGCUCAACGUCUGCACUGCAGCGCGAACUGGUUUCCUUGAGUACGCACAAAGUGGGCGGAAUUCGUGGUGUAGCGGUGAAAUGCUUAGAUAUCACGAAGAACUCCGAUUGCGAAGGCAGCUCACUGGAGCGCAACUGACGCUGAAGCUCGAAAGUGCGGGUAUCGAACAGGAUUAGAUACCCUGGUAGUCCGCACGGUAAACGAUGGAUGCCCGCUGUUGGUCUGAAUAGGUCAGCGGCCAAGCGAAAGCAUUAAGCAUCCCACCUGGGGAGUACGCCGGCAACGGUGAAA
Molecule: ribosomal RNA, 887 nt
Filed under: uncultured bacterium
Lineage: Bacteria
Description: bacterial SSU rRNA
Rfam family: Bacterial small subunit ribosomal RNA
Source: RNAcentral